GGGCCCGGGGUCGGUCGGCAAGACGCCAGCUUCGCAAGUUGGAAAUACCGGGUUCAAUGAACCUUUUCUGCGCUCCUCGAAGCGCUCGCUUUCUUAUGCUCGCGUUCUGCGGUGCUUGAAAAGCUUCACCAAAAGCGGCGCACGCUUCGAAAGCUGGACGGAAAAUGUUUUGAAAAUCCCGGCGGGUCCA
RNAcentral lists this transfer RNA (190 nucleotides) under Microcaldota archaeon. RNAcentral describes it as "tRNA-Ala". The record is from RNAcentral. Lineage: Archaea; Nanobdellati; Microcaldota.